CAGAUACAUGCAUCUAAAACUUUUCACACUCAAGAGAAGGGAAAAAGAAAGAUCCCAUUUUAUGCUCUGAUGCAGCAGUGAGAUCUGUGUGCUCAGUGAUGCACAAAGCAAAACCUGAUCCUCACUAGAACACUGAUAGGCACCUCAAGUCCUUGCUCAGAGACGAGAAGAUGAAACAUUCUUCAGAUGCUUUCUCGAUCCUAAUUCAGCCUUUCAUCCCUGUCAAGUGGGAUGAAAUCACCCCUGACGGUGCCUGAGGAGGUUUUGACAUGUGCCUGCCCA
Molecule: long non-coding RNA, 282 nt
Filed under: Parus major (Great Tit)
Lineage: Eukaryota; Metazoa; Chordata; Aves; Passeriformes; Paridae
Description: lncRNA (ENSPMJG00000012503.1)
Source: RNAcentral